RNAcentral lists this ribosomal RNA (253 nucleotides) under uncultured prokaryote. RNAcentral's name for it is "partial 16S ribosomal RNA". It matches the Rfam family "Bacterial small subunit ribosomal RNA", at positions 525 to 777 of the family's 1533-position model. The record is from RNAcentral.
CCUCCUUCUUCGCGCUUUCUCCGGAUUUAUUGGGUUUAAAGGGUGCGUAGGCGGUCUUAUAAGUCAGUGGUGAAAUCCUAUCGCUUAACGAUAGACGUGCCAUUGAUACUGUAGGACUUGAGUACAGAUGCCGUUGGCGGAAUGUGUCAUGUAGCGGUGAAAUGCAUAGAUAUGACACAGAACACCGAUUGCGAAGGCAGCUGACGAAACUGUAACUGACGCUGAGGCACGAAAGCGUGGGGAUCAAACAGGA